RNAcentral lists this ribosomal RNA (582 nucleotides) under Bifidobacterium dentium. RNAcentral's name for it is "bacterial SSU rRNA". It matches the Rfam family "Bacterial small subunit ribosomal RNA", at positions 845 to 1426 of the family's 1533-position model. The record is from RNAcentral. Lineage: Bacteria; Bacillati; Actinomycetota; Actinomycetes; Bifidobacteriales; Bifidobacteriaceae.
GUCGGAGCUACCGCGUUAAGCAUCCCGCCUGGGGAGUACGGCCGCAAGGCUAUAACUCAAAGAAAUUGACGGGCGGCCGCACCAGCGGCGGAGCAUGCGGAUUAAUUCGAUGCAACGCGAAGAACCUUACCUGGGCUUGACAUGUUCCCGACGGCCGUAGAGAUCCGGCCUCCCUUCGGGGCGGGUUCACAGGUGGUGCAUGGUCGUCGUCAGCUCGUGUCGUGAGAUGUUGGGUUAAGUCCCGCAACGAGCGCAACCCUCGCCCUGUGUUGCCAGCACGUCAUGGUGGGAACUCACGGGGGACCGCCGGGGUCAACUCGGAGGAAGGUGGGGAUGACGUCAGAUCAUCAUGCCCCUUACGUCCAGGGCUUCACGCAUGCUACAAUGGCCGGUACAGCGGGAUGCGACAUGGCGACAUGGAGCGGAUCCCUGAAAACCGGUCUCAGUUCGGAUUGGAGUCUGCAACCCGACUCCAUGAAGGCGGAGUCGCUAGUAAUCGCGGAUCAGCAACGCCGCGGUGAAUGCGUUCCCGGGCCUGGUACACACCGCCCGUCAAGUCAUGAAAGUGGGCAGCACCCGAAG